GGAGGAUUGGUGCCCCAAGGGACGGGGCAAAUUGCCAUCCCUAUACAAUUUAAGCAACAAUCAUCCAAAUAAAAUUGAAUUUGACAAAAAAAAAAUACCAUUACCAUAUAAGCUAAAAUUAAAUGAACUUAUUUGCUUCUCAUAUUCACUGUAAAAACAGUUAUAAUCAGGCCAGUGCAAACCUAAUAGACACUCGUACUACACAUUUAAAAAAAUUCAGGCUAAGGGCUGAGAAAAAAAAAUUGGCUGGGCUCAUCUUAUGUGGUGAGUUGUUCCAGGAACAAGUCAGCCCAGCUCAGAAAAAAUUACUGCUCUAAUAAUGACUUGGUCCCAUGACAAAAACAGAAGAGUAGACUUUCUCCAUUAACAAAAUUCUUAUUAUGGAAAGAAACAAGGGGCUGUAGAAUAUAUAU
RNAcentral lists this unclassified non-coding RNA (413 nucleotides) under Hevea brasiliensis (rubber tree). The record is from RNAcentral. Lineage: Eukaryota; Viridiplantae; Streptophyta; Magnoliopsida; Malpighiales; Euphorbiaceae.